CUGAGAGGAAAAGUCUGUGCUCAGGCAGUUGACUGAGAUGAAGAUCUAAACAAGAUGGAGAAGAAAAGAUCCAUUAAAAAGACUCCUCCAGCUGUUGAGUUUACAAUGGGCUAUUUAGAGCACACUUCAAAACCAACAAAUGUAAGGUGUACAAGACAGUAGUGAGACCAGCUAUCUAUGCUGUAAGUAAAUCUCAAGCUGAUGGGCUGCCACAUAACUAAAGGACAGAAAAAGCACAGCAACAACACAGGUGAAUAAGCCUGAGUCAUGAAGAAAACAUGGGCUCUGGGAAAUAUCUGAAACUCCUCACCGAUGUCGAUACACCUCUGUUUGGCUGUGUGCUGUCUGGAGUGCCAAUACUUCCAGUGCUUGAGCUGGUCAUCCCUACAUUUCUCCUCACCGAACACUACCAUCACGACACUCUGUAAAAACAAAUUAUGAUGAAAGUUCAAGACACACGUCUAACUAACAUGUCAAACAAACACACACAAACACACGCACACUCCACAUACCCUGACUUUGCAGA
Long non-coding RNA from Tachysurus fulvidraco (yellow catfish), 526 nucleotides. RefSeq lists it as uncharacterized. NCBI's taxonomy places the organism in Eukaryota, Metazoa, Chordata, Actinopteri, Siluriformes, Bagridae. The transcript is spliced from 4 exons. The record is from RefSeq and is a predicted model, not a curated record.